Molecule: ribosomal RNA, 520 nt
Filed under: Lamellibrachia luymesi
Lineage: Eukaryota; Metazoa; Annelida; Polychaeta; Sabellida; Siboglinidae
Description: partial 16S ribosomal RNA
Rfam family: Bacterial large subunit ribosomal RNA
Source: RNAcentral
AAAAACAUUGCCUCUCGACUCAACAAUGAGAGGUUCAUCCUGCCCAUGACAACAUAGUUUAAUGGCCGCGGUACCCUGACCGUGCAAAGGUAGCAUAAUCAUUUGCCCCUUAAUUAGGGGCUAGCAUGAAAGGACACACGAAAGCUUCCCUGUCUCACAAUAACAAAUAAAAAUUAAUCUUCAAGUGAAAAAGCUUGAAUGAAACUGCAGGACAAGAAGACCCCGUUGAGCUUUAUUCUCUAUAGACUAAAUCAAAUAUUAAAUAUAUCAUAAACCUAAAAAGAAUUUAGUUGGGGUGACUAAGGAACACCAAAAACUUCCUUUUAUUAAUUAGGAUUAUUCUCCAUAUAAAUUGACCCAUUACAUAUGAUCAAAAAAAUAAGCUACCACAGGGAUAACAGGCUAAUCUUUCUCAAGAGCCCAAAUUGUCAGAAAGGAUUGGCACCUCGAUGUUGGCUUAGGGGCCCCUAAUGGUGCAGAAGCCAUAAAUGGUAGGUUUGUUCAACCUUUAAAACCCUAC